This 278-nucleotide ribosomal RNA is filed under the name uncultured bacterium. Its description in RNAcentral is "partial 16S ribosomal RNA". It matches the Rfam family "Bacterial small subunit ribosomal RNA", at positions 511 to 788 of the family's 1533-position model. The record is from RNAcentral.
GCAGCCGCGGUAAUACGGAGGAUCCGAGCGUUAUCCGGAUUUAUUGGGUUUAAAGGGUGCGUAGGCGGCCCUGUAAGUUAGAGGUGAAAAGCGCGAGCUCAACUUGCGUCGUGCCUCUAAUACUGUAGGGCUUGAGAUUAGUUGCAGAAGGCGGAAUGUGUAGUGUAGCGGUGAAAUGCUUAGAUAUUACACAGAACACCGAUUGCGAAGGCAGCUUUCUAAGCUAUAUCUGACGCUGAUGCACGAAAGCGUGGGGAGCGAACAGGAUUAGAUACCCC